This 441-nucleotide ribosomal RNA is filed under the name uncultured eukaryote. RNAcentral's name for it is "eukaryotic LSU rRNA". It matches the Rfam family "Eukaryotic large subunit ribosomal RNA", at positions 29 to 439 of the family's 3401-position model. The record is from RNAcentral.
UGAAUUUAAACAUAUUAUUAAGUAGUGGAAAAAGAAAGUAACAACGAUUUCUUGAGUAACGGCGAGUGAAAAAGGAAAGAGUGCAAGAUUGAAAUCAAAAUAGGAUGAAUAUUUUGAAUUGUAGUUUCAAUUAUUUUCAGAUGAAAAUUUCUUGUGGUGAGUGUUUUAAAUUUGAUGGAGUAAAAUCUAUUGGAAAAUAAUAUGAAACAAGGUGAUAAUCCUGUCUAAAACACACAGCAAGAAAUGAAAAUCGGAAAUAACAAGAGUCGGACUAUUUGGGAGUAUAGUCUAAAGCAUAAGGUAAGUCCCUUAUAACACUAAAUAUCAAUGGGAGACCGAUAGUGAACAAGUAGUGUGAACGAAAGAAGAAAAGCACUUUGAAAAGAGAGUGAAAUAGUACCUGAAAUUGUUAAAAGGGAAGGAAUAAAUUAAAGUAAAUAA